This 117-nucleotide ribosomal RNA is filed under the name Erinaceus europaeus (western European hedgehog). Lineage: Eukaryota; Metazoa; Chordata; Mammalia; Eulipotyphla; Erinaceidae. The record is from RNAcentral.
GUCUAUGGCCAUACCAUACUGACCACUCCCAAUCUUGUCUGAUCUCAGAAGCUUAGCAGGGUCAGGCCUGGUUAGUACUUGGAUGGGAACCCACUGAUAUCCAAACAACUUCAGAUG